GUCCAGACUCCUACGGGAGGCAGCAGUAGGGAAUCUUCCACAAUGGACGAAAGUCUGAUGCAGCAACGCCGCGUGAGUGAAGAAGUCUUUCGGUAUGUAAAGCUCUAUCAGCAGGGAAGAGAAUGACGGUACCUGACUAAGAAGCCCCGGCUAACUACGUGCCAGCAGCCGCGGUAAUACGUAGGGGGCAAGCGUUAUCCGGAUUUACUGGGUGUAAAGGGAGCGUAGACGGCUGGCCAAGUCUGAAGUGAAAGCCCGGGGCUUAACCCCGGAACGGCUUUGGAAACUGGCCGGCUGGAGUGCUGGAGAGGCAGGCGGAAUUCCUGGUGUAGCGGUGAAAUGCGUAGAUAUCAGGAGGAACACCGGUGGCGAAGGCGGCCUGCUGGACAGUAACUGACGUUGAGGCUCGAAAGCGUGGGGAGCAAACAGGAUUAGAUACCCCUGUACUG
RNAcentral lists this ribosomal RNA (449 nucleotides) under uncultured bacterium. RNAcentral describes it as "bacterial SSU rRNA". It matches the Rfam family "Bacterial small subunit ribosomal RNA", at positions 329 to 793 of the family's 1533-position model. The record is from RNAcentral.